RNAcentral lists this ribosomal RNA (253 nucleotides) under uncultured bacterium. RNAcentral describes it as "partial 16S ribosomal RNA". It matches the Rfam family "Bacterial small subunit ribosomal RNA", at positions 524 to 776 of the family's 1533-position model. The record is from RNAcentral.
UACGGGGGGGGCAAGCGUUGUUCGGAAUUACUGGGCGUAAAGGGCUCGUAGGCGGCCAACUAAGUCCGACGUGAAAUCCCAAGGCUUAACCUUGGAACUGCGUCGGAUACUGGAUGGCUUGAAUUCGGGAGAGGGAUGCAGAAUUCCAGGUGUAGCGGUGAAAUGCGUAGAUAUCUGGAGGAAUACCGGUGGCGAAGGCGGGUCUCUGGGCCGUAACUGACGCUGAGGAGCGAAAGCAUGGGGAGCGAACAGG